RNAcentral lists this ribosomal RNA (301 nucleotides) under uncultured bacterium. RNAcentral describes it as "partial 16S ribosomal RNA". It matches the Rfam family "Bacterial small subunit ribosomal RNA", at positions 509 to 807 of the family's 1533-position model. The record is from RNAcentral.
CAGUCGCCACGGUAAUACGAAGGGUGCAAGCGUUACUCGGAAUUACUGGGCGUAAAGCGUGUGUAGGUGGUUGUUUAAGUCUGUCGUGAAAUCCCCGGGCUCAACCUGGGAAUGGCAAUGGAUACUGGCAAGCUAGAGUGUGUCAGAGGAUGGUGGAAUUCCCGGUGUAGCGGUGAAAUGCGUAGAGAUCGGGAGGAACAUCAGUGGCGAAGGCGGCCAUCUGGGACAACACUGACGCUGAGGCACGAAAGCGUGGGGAGCAAACAGGAUUAGAUACCCGCGUAGUCCCUGUCUCUUAUAC